GGUAAUGAUGGCAGAGAGGUCACACCCGUUCCCAUAUCGAACACGGAAGUUAAGCUCUCUAGCGCCGAUGGUAGUUGGGACCUUGUCCCUGUGAGAGUAGGACGUUGCCAGGC
RNAcentral lists this ribosomal RNA (113 nucleotides) under Bacillus thuringiensis serovar morrisoni. Lineage: Bacteria; Bacillati; Bacillota; Bacilli; Caryophanales; Bacillaceae. The record is from RNAcentral.